This 2387-nucleotide ribosomal RNA is filed under the name Proteobacteria bacterium UBA1541. RNAcentral's name for it is "bacterial LSU rRNA". It matches the Rfam family "Bacterial large subunit ribosomal RNA", at positions 3 to 2370 of the family's 2925-position model. Lineage: Bacteria; Pseudomonadati; Pseudomonadota. The record is from RNAcentral.
CCAAGCUACUAAGGGCCUACGGUGGAUGCCUUGGCGCUGAGCGGCGAUGAAGGACGUGGCAAGCUGCGAUAAGUCUCGGGGAGUUGCUAGCGAACGUUGAUCCGGGAAUUUCCGAAUGGGGCAACCCAACCGUCUUUAGGCGGUUACCGCAUAACUGAAUCCAUAGGUUUUGCGGGGCGAACGCGGGGAACUGAAACAUCUAAGUACCCGCAGGAAGAGAAAUCAAACGAGAUUCCGUCAGUAGCGGCGAGCGAACGCGGAAGAGGCUAAACCAGUCCUCUUCGGAGGGCUGGGGUUGCGGGACCGCAAUGUGGUACGACAAAGACUAGCUGAAGGGUCUGGAAAGGCCUGGCAUAGAGGGUGAUACCCCCGUAAGCGAAAGUUUGAGUCGGCCUAGCGGUAUCCCAAGUACCACGGGACACGAGAAACCCUGUGGGAAUCCGGGUGGACCACCAUCCAAGCCUAAAUACGUCUCAGCGACCGAUAGUGCACAAGUACCGUGAGGGAAAGGUGAAAAGCACCCCGGUGAGGGGAGUGAAAUAGAUCCUGAAACCGUAGGCCUACAAGCAGUCGGAGCAUCCUUGAGAUGUGACGGCGUACCUUUUGUAUUAUGGGUCAGCGAGUUACGCCUCAGUGGCGAGGUUAAGGCUCAAGCCGUAGCCGAAGCGAAAGCGAGUCUGAAUAGGGCGCAUAGUCACUGGGGGUAGACCCGAAACCGGUCGAUCUAUCCAUGGCCAGGUUGAAGGUGGGGUAACACCCACUGGAGGACCGAACCCACCGUCGUUGAAAAGCCGGGGGAUGAGCUGUGGAUCGGAGUGAAAGGCUAAUCAAGACCGGAGAUAGCUGGUUCUCCCCGAAAUAUAUUUAGGUAUAGCCUCGUGUAUGGCUUCCGGGGGUAGAGCACUGAAUGGGCUAGGGGCCCCCACAGGGUUACCAAACCUAAUCAAACUCCGAAUACCGGAAAGUCUAAGCACGGGAGUCAGACAGCGGGUGCUAACGCCCGUUGUCAAGAGGGAUGAAAACCCAGACCGCCAGCUAAGGUCCCCAAAUUACAGCUAAGUGGGAAAGGAUGUGGGAGCGCAAAAACAGCCAGGAGGUUGGCUUAGAAGCAGCCACCCUUUAAAGAAAGCGUAACAGCUCACUGGUCGAGCGAGCCUGCGCCGAAAAUACCCCGGGGCUCAAGCUGUAUACCGAAGCUGCGGAUGCGUCUUGUACGCAUGGUAGGGGAGCGUUCCGUAAGCCUGUGAAGCUCAACCGUGAGGUUGGGUGGAGGUAUCGGAAGUGAGAAUGCUGACAUGAGUAGCGAUCAACAGGGUGAAAAGCCCUGUCGCCGUAAGCCCAAGGUUUCCUGCACUAUGUUCAUCAGGGCAGGGUGAGUCGGCCCCUAAGGCGAGGCCGAAAGGCGUAGUCGAUGGGAAGCAGGUUAAUAUUCCUGCACCAGGUGCAACUGCGAUGGGAUGACGGAGAAGGCUAAACCAGCCGGCGAAUGGUAGUGCCGGUUUAAGCGAGUAGGUGGAGGGGAUAGGCAAAUCCGUUCCUUCUUAACACCGAGACGUGAUGACGUGCUCUUGCUUCGGCUUGAGCGAAGUGGUCGAUGCCAGGCUUCCAGGAAAAGUCUCUAAGCUUCAGGUUGCACGUGACCGUACCGCAAACCGACACAGGUGGGCGAGGAGAGAAUCCUCAGGUGUUUGAGAGAACUCUGGUGAAGGAACUCGGCAAAAUGGCCCCGUAACUUCGGGAGAAGGGGUGCCCCUUGUAUGUGAAGCGACUUGCUCGUGGAGCAGAAGGGGGCCGCAGUGACCAGGGGGUAGCGACUGUUUACUAAAAACACAGCACUCUGCGAAAUCGCAAGAUGACGUAUAGGGUGUGACGCCUGCCCGGUGCUGGAAGGUUAAGGGGAGUUGUUAGCCGCAAGGCGAAGCUCCGAACCGAAGCCCCAGUAAACGGCGGCCGUAACUAUAACGGUCCUAAGGUAGCGAAAUUCCUUGUCGGGUAAGUUCCGACCUGCACGAAUGGCGUAACGACUUCCCCGCUGUCUCCACCAGAGACUCAGCGAAAUUGAACUCGCUGUGAAGAUGCAGCGUACCCGCGGCAAGACGGAAAGACCCCGUGAACCUUUACUAUAGCUUGACAUUGGGUCUAGGAAUCAUCUGUGUAGGAUAGGUGGGAGGCUGUGAAACCGGGGCGCCAGUUCCGGUGGAGCCAUCCUUGAAAUACCACCCUGAUGGUUCUUGGGCUCUAACCGCGGUCCGUAAUCCGGAUCCGGGACAGUGUCUGGUGGGUAGUUUGACUGGGGCGGUCGCCUCCUAAAGAGUAACGGAGGCGUGCGAAGGUCCUCUCAGACUGGUUGGAAAUCAGUCGUCGAGUGCAAAGGCAUAAGAGGGCUU